This 1196-nucleotide long non-coding RNA is filed under the name Sus scrofa (pig). RNAcentral describes it as "lncRNA (ENSSSCG00050059542.1)". The record is from RNAcentral. Lineage: Eukaryota; Metazoa; Chordata; Mammalia; Artiodactyla; Suidae.
GGAACCCUAAACUAAGACAAACACCAGUCAGAGUGCCGCAGAGAGAACAGAAAGAUGCAAGCAGAUUCCUAAUACCAUGUAUUCCCUGAUGGUCACUUCAUUACUUGUGACGGUGCAUCAUCCAUUGUGACACCAUAGGUACUGUGUUCCAAUAAGACUUCUAAAGGUCAUUGCUGUGCUUCGUUGAAGACACCACAAUUGCAUCAUGAGCAGCAUGGACGAGCAUCACAACACCCUGUACGAGGCAGUUCGGGAGGUCCUGCAUGGGAACUACUGCAAGCGCUGAAAGUUUCUGGAGAUUGUGGAGCUUCAGAUCAGCCUGAAGAACUAUGACCCUCAGAAGGACAAAUGCUUCUUAGGCACCGUCAGGAUUAAGUCUACUCUCCGCCCCAAGUUCUCCAUGUGUGUUCUGGGAGAUAAGCAACUUUGUGAUGAGGCCAAGGCUGUGGAUGUCCUGCACAUGGACACUGAGGCACUGAAGAAACUCAGCAAGAAUAAGAAACUGGUCAAGAAGCUGGCCAAGAAGUAAGAUGCCUUUUUGGCUUCAGAGGCUCUAUUCAAGCAGAUUCCAGGGAUCCUGGGCCCUGGCCUGAAUAAGGCUGGCAAGUUCCCUUCCUUGACCCACAAUGAGGAUAUGGUGGCCAAAGUUGAUGAAGUGAAGUCCACGAUCAAGUUCCAGAUGAAGAAGUGUGGUGUCUGGCAGUGGCUGUUGGCCACAUGAAGAUGACAAAUGAUGAGCUGGUGUACAGCACCCACUUAGCUCUCAACUUCCUGGUGUCAUUGCUCAAGAAAAAUUGGCAGAACAUCUGGACUUUGUACAUUAAGGACACCAUGAACAAGCCCCUGCACCUGUACUGAGGAUCAGGUCAAUAAACCAUCUGCCGCCAUUUAAAAAAAAAAAAAGAAGAAGAAAAAAGAAUUGAUCAGGAAAUAGGCUGUCUCUGUCUGCUUUUUCCUUUCCAUGAAGCCAUCUUAGGAUGUAGUCUUCCAAACUCAUCACUGUUGCCUCAGGGUUUCAGAAUGGCUGCUGCACCCCUGCAUUGCCUCCACAUUCUAUAAAAAGGUGGAAGCCAGUCAAGUCUCUCCUCCAUUGAGUGCCUUUCUGAGAAGCCCCAACUUGUGACUUUCAUUUCUUUCUCUUGACCAGAACUGUGUUAUCUGACCACCCCACUCAAUGUAAGAAAGACUGGGAGAUA